Molecule: ribosomal RNA, 241 nt
Filed under: Extubocellulus spinifer
Lineage: Eukaryota; Bacillariophyta; Thalassiosirophyceae; Cymatosirales; Cymatosiraceae
Description: partial Bacterial large subunit ribosomal RNA
Rfam family: Bacterial large subunit ribosomal RNA
Source: RNAcentral
AGCUGUGAUCCGGGGGUGUCCGAAUGGGGAAACCUGGAAUGUCCGGAGUAGUGUCCGGUGGCCCUGCCCUGAAUGUAUAGGGGUGUGGGUGGUAACGCGGGGAAGUGAAACAUCUUAGUACCCGUAGGAAGAGAAAACAAGUGUGAUUCCGUGAGUAGUGGCGAGCGAAAGCGGAGGAGGCUAAACCGUGUGUGUGUUCAAGCCGGCAGGUGUUGCAUGUGCGGGGUUGUGGGGGCCUUGU